CGUACCCUUCGGUUCGGAAUAACUCAGGGAAACUUGAGCUAAUACCGGAUACGCCCUUUUGGGGAAAGGUUUACUGCCGAAGGAUCGGCCCGCGUCUGAUUAGCUUGUUGGUGGGGUAACGGCCUACCAAGGCGACGAUCAGUAGCUGGUCUGAGAGGAUGAUCAGCCACACUGGGACUGAGACACGGCCCAGACUCCUACGGGAGGCAGCAGUGGGGAAUAUUGGACAAUGGGCGCAAGCCUGAUCCAGCCAUGCCGCGUGAGUGAUGAAGGCCUUAGGGUUGUAAAGCUCUUUUGUCCGGGACGAUAAUGACGGUACCGGAAGAAUAAGCCCCGGCUAACUUCGUGCCAGCAGCCGCGGUAAUACGAAGGGGGCUAGCGUUGCUCGGAAUCACUGGGCGUAAAGGGCGCGUAGGCGGCCGAUUAAGUCGGGGGUGAAAGCCUGUGGCUCAACCACAGAAUUGCCUUCGAUACUGGUUGGCUUGAGGCCGGAAGAGGACAGCGGAACUGCGAGU
Molecule: ribosomal RNA, 515 nt
Filed under: uncultured bacterium
Lineage: Bacteria
Description: bacterial SSU rRNA
Rfam family: Bacterial small subunit ribosomal RNA
Source: RNAcentral